Molecule: ribosomal RNA, 1376 nt
Filed under: soil metagenome
Description: bacterial LSU rRNA
Rfam family: Bacterial large subunit ribosomal RNA
Source: RNAcentral
CCAGGAGGUUGGCUUAGAAGCAGCCAUCCUUUAAAGAAAGCGUAAUAGCUCACUGGUCAAGCGGCUCUGGGCCGACAAUAUAACGGGGCUCAAGUACAGGACCGAAGCCGUAGAAUAGACGGAAUCCUGCGGGAUUCCAUAUUGGUAGAGGAGCGUUCUCAAUGCAGCGAAGUCAGACCGUGAGGACUGGUGGAGCGUUGAGAAGUGACCCUGCCGGCAUAAGUAGCGAGAAGGGAAGUGAGAAUCUUCCCCGCCGUAAGCCUAAGGUUUCCUGAGGAAGGUUCGUCCGCUCAGGGUCAGUCGGGAGCUAACGCGAGGCCGAAAGGCGUAGCGGAUGCACAUCCGGUUAAUAUUCCGGAACUACCUAUUCCACGUUAUUACGAUGGGGGGACGCAGGAGGCUAACCAGGCCCACGAUUGGAAGUGUGGGUGCGAGGCUCGUAGGGAGAUCCGCCAGGUAAAUCCGGUGGGUCGCUAAUCCUGAGGGGCCGGAGCGAGGGCCGCAAGGCCCAUAAAGCUGGUGACGCCACGCUGCCGAGAAAAGCCUCUAAGGAGUGGAGUGGGUACCCGUACCGCAAACCGACACAGGUAGGCGAGGAGAAAAUCCUCAGGCGCAAGUGAGAACCCUCGUUUAGGAACUCGGCAAACUAGCCCCGUAACUUCGGAAUAAGGGGUGCUCGAUUAGUGUGUACGAUCCUCGCGGUCGUAUGCAUGAACGAGUUGCAAUAAAGAGGCCCAAGCAACUGUUUACUAAAAACACAGGGCUAUGCUAAGUCGAACACGACGUAUAUGGCCUGACGCCUGCCCGGUGCCGGAAGGUUAAAGGGAGAGGUUAGCCGCAAGGCGACGCUUCGAACUGAAGCCCCGGUAAACGGCGGCCGUAACUAUAACGGUCCUAAGGUAGCGAAAUUCCUUGUCGGGUAAGUUCCGACCUGCACGAAUGGCGUAAUGAUCUGGGCGCUGUCUCAACGAGGGGCACUGCGAAUUUGUGGUACCGGUGAAGACGCCGGUUGCCCGUGACUAGACGAAAAGACCCCGUGCACCUUUACUACAUCUUAGUAGUGAAUGCUGGCGUGUUAUGCGCAGGAUAGGUGGGAGGCUUUGAACCCAGGCUUUCGGGCUUGGGGGAGCCAACGGUGAGAUACCACCCUUAACACUCCGGCGUUCUAACCUCGACCUGUCAUCCAGGUCAGGGACACUGCUAGGUGGGUAGUUUGACUGGGGCGGUCGCCUCCUAAACUGUAACGGAGGCGCGCGAAGGUUCGCUCAGGCUGUUUGGAAAUCAGCCGUAGAGUGCAAAAGCAUAAGCGAGCUUGACUGCGACACCUACAAGUGGAGCAGGUGGGAAACCAGGCUUUAGUGAUCCGGUGGUUCCGC